Molecule: ribosomal RNA, 582 nt
Filed under: uncultured cyanobacterium
Lineage: Bacteria; Bacillati; Cyanobacteriota
Description: bacterial SSU rRNA
Rfam family: Bacterial small subunit ribosomal RNA
Source: RNAcentral
CGCUGGCGGUAUGCUUUACACAUGCAAGUCGUACGAGAGUUUUUAACUCAAGUGGCGGACGGGUGAGUAACACGUAAGAAUUUACCUUUAGGAGGGGGAUAACAACUGGAAACGGUUGCUAAUACCCCAUAUGCUUUUCGAAGUGAAAUGGAUUUUUCCGCCUAGAGAGAAGCUUGCGGCUGAUUAGCUUGUUGGUUGAGGUAAUGGCUCACCAAGGCGACGAUCAGUAUCUGGUUUGAGAGGACGAUCAGACACACUGGAACUGAGACACGGUCCAGACUCCUACGGGAGGCAGCAGUGGGGAAUUUUCCGCAAUGGGCGAAAGCCUGACGGAGCAAUACCGCGUGAGGGAUGACGGCCUAUGGGUUGUAAACCUCUUUUUUCAGGGAGGAUUGAAUGACGUGUACCUGAAGAAUAAGCAUCGGCUAACUCCGUGCCAGCAGCCGCGGUAAGACGGAGGAUGCAAGUGUUAUCCGGAAUCACUGGGCGUAAAGCGUCUGUAGGUGGUUUAAUAAGUCAACUGUUAAAUCUUGAGGCUUAACCUCAAAAUCGCAGUCGAAACUAUUAGACUAGAGUAUAGUA